This 460-nucleotide ribosomal RNA is filed under the name uncultured bacterium. Its description in RNAcentral is "partial 16S ribosomal RNA". It matches the Rfam family "Bacterial small subunit ribosomal RNA", at positions 338 to 795 of the family's 1533-position model. The record is from RNAcentral.
CCUACGGGAGGCAGCAGUGAGGAAUUUUGGUCAAUGGGCGCGAGCCUGAACCAGCCAAGUAGCGUGAAGGAUGACUGCCCUACGGGUUGUAAACUUCUUUUAUAAAGGAAUAAAGUGCGGCACGUGUGCCUUUUCGUGUGUACUUUAUGAAUAAGCAUCGGCUAACUCCGUGCCAGCAGCCGCGGUAAUACGGAGGAUCCGAGCGUUAUCCGGAUUUAUUGGGUUUAAAGGGAGCGUAGAUGGGUUGUUAAGUCAGUUGUGAAAGUUUGCGGCUCAACCGUAAAAUUGCAGUUGAUACUGGCAGCCUUGAGUACAGUUGAGGUAGGCGGAAUGCGUGGUGUAGCGGUGAAAUGCUUAGAUAUCACGAAGAACUCCGAUUGCGAAGGCAGCUUACUAACCUGCCACUGACAUUGAUGCUCGAAAGUGUGGGUAUCAAACAGGAUUAGAUACCCGAGUAGUC